CAGUCGCCACGGUAAUACGUAGGUCCCGAGCGUUGUCCGGAUUUAUUGGGCGUAAAGCGAGCGCAGGCGGUUAGAUAAGUCUGAAGUUAAAGGCUGUGGCUUAACCAUAGUACGCUUUGGAAACUGUUUAACUUGAGUGCAAGAGGGGAGAGUGGAAUUCCAUGUGUAGCGGUGAAAUGCGUAGAUAUAUGGAGGAACACCAGUGGCGAAGGCGACUCUCUGGUCUGUAACUGACGCUGAGGAGCGAAAGCGUGGGGAGCGAACAGGAUUAGAUACCCGAGUAGUCCCUGUCUCUUAUAAC
This 301-nucleotide ribosomal RNA is filed under the name uncultured bacterium. Its description in RNAcentral is "partial 16S ribosomal RNA". It matches the Rfam family "Bacterial small subunit ribosomal RNA", at positions 509 to 810 of the family's 1533-position model. The record is from RNAcentral.